CUCGCAGGACCCGCCUACUACCUCGUUCCACAGCUUCUGGAGAUCCAGCUGUCCUCGCGAGUCCAGGAGAAGGAGGCUGGAGACUCACUCUACGUGGGCAUGUGCGGGCACUGAUGAGGAGGCAGAGAUGGCUUUCGGCGGGUCAGGAGUGACGGCGCGCCCAACUGCAGCAACUCCUCCGCUUUGCGAGCAAGGCACCUCCACGACCCUUCCUGCU
RNAcentral lists this unclassified non-coding RNA (217 nucleotides) under Rhodotorula toruloides. Lineage: Eukaryota; Fungi; Basidiomycota; Microbotryomycetes; Sporidiobolales; Sporidiobolaceae. The record is from RNAcentral.